RNAcentral lists this ribosomal RNA (119 nucleotides) under Penaeus monodon (black tiger shrimp). Lineage: Eukaryota; Metazoa; Arthropoda; Malacostraca; Decapoda; Penaeidae. The record is from RNAcentral.
GCCAACGAUCAUACCACUUUGAAAGCACCGCUUUUCGUCCGAUCAGCGAAGUUAAGCAACGUAGGGUCUGGUCAGUACUUGGAUGGGUGACCGCCUGGGAACACCAGAUGCUGUUAGCA